RNAcentral lists this ribosomal RNA (253 nucleotides) under uncultured bacterium. RNAcentral describes it as "partial 16S ribosomal RNA". It matches the Rfam family "Bacterial small subunit ribosomal RNA", at positions 524 to 776 of the family's 1533-position model. The record is from RNAcentral.
AACGUAGGAGACAAACGUUAUCCGGAGUUACUGGGCGUAAAGAGUAUGUAGGCGGUUGGGUAAGUUUGGUGUGAAAUCUCCCGGCUUAACUGGGAGGGUGCGCUAAAGACUGCCUGGCUCGAGUGUGGGAGAGGUGAGUGGAACUGCGAGUGUAGAGGUGAAAUUCGUAGAUAUUCGCAAGAACACCAGUGGCGAAGGCGGCUCACUGGCCCAUAACUGACGCUGAGGCACGAAAGCGUGGGGAGCAAACAGG